This 252-nucleotide ribosomal RNA is filed under the name uncultured Bacteroidales bacterium. RNAcentral describes it as "partial 16S ribosomal RNA". It matches the Rfam family "Bacterial small subunit ribosomal RNA", at positions 524 to 776 of the family's 1533-position model. The record is from RNAcentral. Lineage: Bacteria; Pseudomonadati; Bacteroidota; Bacteroidia; Bacteroidales.
UACGUAGGGGGCAAGCGUUGUUCGGAAUGACUGGGCGUAAAGGGUGCGUAGGCGGAGUGUCAAGUCAGCGGUAAAAUUUCGGGGCUCAACCCCGUCGUGCCGUUGAAACUGACACCCUUGAGUGAGUGAGAAGUAAGCGGAAUGCGUGGUGUAGCGGUGAAAUGCAUAGAUAUCACGCAGAACCCCGAUUGCGAAGGCAGCAUACCGGUGCACAACUGACGCUCAGGCACGAAAGCGUGGGUAUCGAACAGG